AUUGAACGCUGGCGGAAUGCUUUACACAUGCAAGUCGAACGGCAGCACGGGGGCGAACCCUCGGUGGCGAGUGGCGAACGGGUGAGUAAUACAUCGGAACGUGCCCACGUCGUGGGGGAGUAACUACGCGAAAGCGUAGCUAAUACCGCAUACGAUCUACGGAUGAAAGCGGGGGACCGUAAGGCCUCGCGCGAUUGGAGCGCCGAUGGCAGAUUAGGUAGUUGGUGGGGUAAAGGCNCACCAAGCCGACGAUCUGUAGCUGGUCUGAGAGGACGACCAGCCACACUGGGACUGAGACACGG
Molecule: ribosomal RNA, 302 nt
Filed under: uncultured bacterium
Lineage: Bacteria
Description: bacterial SSU rRNA
Rfam family: Bacterial small subunit ribosomal RNA
Source: RNAcentral